CUACGGGAGGCAGCAGUGGGGAAUAUUGGACAAUGGGCGCAAGCCUGAUCUAGCCAUGCCGCGUGAGUGACGAAGGCCUUAGGGUCGUAAAGCUCUUUCGCCAGAGAUGAUAAUGACAGUAUCUGGUAAAGAAACCCCGGCUAACUCCGUGCCAGCAGCCGCGGUAAUACGGAGGGGGUUAGCGUUGUUCGGAAUUACUGGGCGUAAAGCGUACGUAGGCGGAUUGGAAAGUAGGGGGUGAAAUCCCAGGGCUCAACCCUGGAACUGCCUCCUAAACUAUCAGUCUAGAGUUCGAGAGAGGUGAGUGGAAUUCCAAGUGUAGAGGUGAAAUUCGUAGAUAUUUGGAGGAACACCAGUGGCGAAGGCGGCU
RNAcentral lists this ribosomal RNA (370 nucleotides) under uncultured Roseobacter sp. RNAcentral's name for it is "bacterial SSU rRNA". It matches the Rfam family "Bacterial small subunit ribosomal RNA", at positions 339 to 726 of the family's 1533-position model. The record is from RNAcentral. Lineage: Bacteria; Pseudomonadati; Pseudomonadota; Alphaproteobacteria; Rhodobacterales; Roseobacteraceae.